RNAcentral lists this ribosomal RNA (72 nucleotides) under Erysiphe deutziae. RNAcentral's name for it is "partial 28S ribosomal RNA". It matches the Rfam family "Eukaryotic large subunit ribosomal RNA", at positions 1 to 72 of the family's 3401-position model. The record is from RNAcentral. Lineage: Eukaryota; Fungi; Ascomycota; Leotiomycetes; Helotiales; Erysiphaceae.
UGACCUCGAAUCAGGUAGGAAUACCCGCUGAACUUAAGCAUAUCAAUAAGCGGAGGAAAAGAAACCAACCGG